AUACGGAGGGUGCGAGCGUUGUUCGGAAUUAUUGGGCGUAAAGAGCAUGUAGGCGGUCUGUUAAGUCUGGUGUGAAAGCCCGGGGCUCAACCCCGGAAGUGCAUUGGAUACUGGCAGACUUGAGUAUGGGAGAGGAAAGCGGAAUUCCGAGUGUAGGAGUGAAAUCCGUAGAUAUUCGGAGGAAUACCAGUGGCGAAGGCGGCUUUCUGGAUCAAUACUGACGCUGAGAUGCGAAAGCGUGGGGAGCAAACAGGAUUAGAAACCCCAGUAGUCC
This 274-nucleotide ribosomal RNA is filed under the name uncultured bacterium. Its description in RNAcentral is "partial 16S ribosomal RNA". It matches the Rfam family "Bacterial small subunit ribosomal RNA", at positions 523 to 796 of the family's 1533-position model. The record is from RNAcentral.